GACGAACGCUGGCGGCGUGCUUAACACAUGCAAGUCGAACGGUGAACCUCUUCGGAGGGGAUCAGUGGCGAACGGGUGAGUAACACGUGGGCAACCUGCCCCCGGCUCUGGGAUAACUCCAAGAAAUUGGGGCUAAUACCGGAUGUUCACCGCUUCCCGCAUGGGUGGAGGUGGAAAGGGUUUCCGGCUGGGGAUGGGCCCGCGGCCUAUCAGCUUGUUGGUGGGGUAGUGGCCUACCAAGGCGACGACGGGUAGCCGGCCUGAGAGGGUGACCGGCCACACUGGGACUGAGACACGGCCCAGACUCCUACGGGAGGCAGCAGUGGGGAAUAUUGCGCAAUGGGCGGAAGCCUGACGCAGCGACGCCGCGUGGGGGAUGACGGCCUUCGGGUUGUAAACCUCUUUCAGCAGGGACGAAGCGCAAGUGACGGUACCUGCAGAAGAAGCACCGGCCAACUACGUG
RNAcentral lists this ribosomal RNA (463 nucleotides) under uncultured bacterium. Its description in RNAcentral is "partial 16S ribosomal RNA". It matches the Rfam family "Bacterial small subunit ribosomal RNA", at positions 28 to 507 of the family's 1533-position model. The record is from RNAcentral.